GCGGAGGAUCAUUACUGAAUUGUCAAACGGGUUGUUGCUGGCCCUCAUAGGGGGCAUGUGCACGCUCUGUUUACACAUCCACUCACACCUGUGCACCCUCUGUAGUUCUAUGGUCUGGGGGACCCUGUCUUCCUUCUGUGGUUCUACGUCUUUACACACACACUGUAANAAAGUUUUAUGGAAUGUACAUCGCGUCUAACGCAAUACAAUACAACUUUCAGCAACGGAUCUCUUGGCUCUCGCAUCGAUGAAGAACGCAGCGAAAUGCGAUAAGUAAUGUGAAUUGCAGAAUUCAGUGAAUCAUCGAAUCUUUGAACGCACCUUGCGCCCCUUGGCUAUUCCGAGGGGCAUGCCUGUUUGAGUAUCAUGAACACCUCAACUCUCAUGGUUUNCCAUGAUGAGUUGGACUCUGGGGGUUUUGCUGGCCUGUGGUCGGCUCCUCUCAAAUUAAUCAGCCUCCCAGUGUUUGGUGGCAUCACGGGUGUGAUAAAUAUCUACGCUCGCUGUUGUCUGCCAGGUAACCUUUGGUCACAAAGGUUUGCUGGAGCUCACAGAUGUCUCUCCUCAGCGAGGACAGCUUUUUUAACGUUCGAUCUCAAAUCAGGUAGGACUACCCGCUGAACUUAAGCAUAUCAAUAAGC
This 641-nucleotide ribosomal RNA is filed under the name uncultured fungus. RNAcentral describes it as "eukaryotic LSU rRNA". The stretch from base 213 to 367 matches the Rfam family "5.8S ribosomal RNA". The record is from RNAcentral. Lineage: Eukaryota; Fungi.